GUGCAGCAGGCGAGAAACUUUACAAUGUGCGAAAGCACGAUAAGGGAACUCUGAGUGCCUCCUAAGGAGGCUGUUCAGGUGUCUAAAAGCACCUGAAGGAAGGGCUGGGUAAGACCGGUGCCAGCCGCCGCGGUAACACCGGCAGCCCAAGUGGUAGCCACGUUUAUUGGGUCUAAAGCGUCCGUAGCCGGCUGGGUAAGUUCCUUGGGAAAUUUGGCUGCUUAACAGUCAAGCCUUCAGGGAAUACUGCCCGGCUUGGGACCGGGAGAGGUCAGAGGUACUCCAGGGGUAGGGGUGAAAUCCAUUAAUCCUUGGGGGACCACCGGUAGCGAAGGCGUCUGACCAGACCGGGUCCGACGGUGAGGGACGAAGGCUAGGGGCGCGAACCGGAUUAGAUACCCGUGUAGU
This 408-nucleotide ribosomal RNA is filed under the name uncultured microorganism. RNAcentral describes it as "bacterial SSU rRNA". It matches the Rfam family "Archaeal small subunit ribosomal RNA", at positions 330 to 745 of the family's 1478-position model. The record is from RNAcentral.